UCCCUCUCAGGGUUGCACCUGGGGAGUUUCCAGUACUCUACCAGUCUUGACUAUGGGAGGGAGAGUCAAGCAGAGGCCUGCCCAUUCCAUUCCUAGCUUGGGCAGUGGUUAGUGAGUGGCAGGCAAUCUGCUACAAGU
Molecule: small nucleolar RNA, 138 nt
Filed under: Ornithorhynchus anatinus (platypus)
Lineage: Eukaryota; Metazoa; Chordata; Mammalia; Monotremata; Ornithorhynchidae
Source: RNAcentral